UACGGAGGGUGCGAGCGUUAAUCGGAAUUACUGGGCGUAAAGCGUGCGUAGGCGGUUUGAUAAGUCGGGUGUGAAAGCCCCGGGCUUAACCUGGGAAUUGCAUUCGAUACUGUCUGACUCGAGUCUGGGAGAGGGAAGCGGAAUUCCCGGUGUAGUGGUGAAAUGCGUAGAGAUCGGGAGGAACACCAGUGGCGAAGGCGGCCGGCUGGGGGUGACCUGACGCUGAGGCGCGAAAGCGUGGGGAGCGAACCGG
This 253-nucleotide ribosomal RNA is filed under the name uncultured bacterium. RNAcentral describes it as "partial 16S ribosomal RNA". It matches the Rfam family "Bacterial small subunit ribosomal RNA", at positions 524 to 776 of the family's 1533-position model. The record is from RNAcentral.